This 511-nucleotide ribosomal RNA is filed under the name uncultured bacterium. RNAcentral describes it as "partial 16S ribosomal RNA". The record is from RNAcentral.
GGAGUUAGCCGGUGCUUCUUCUGUGAGUGAUGUCCUUCCUGCCGGCUAUUAACCCGCAGGCCUUCUUCCUCACUGAAAGUGCUUUACAACCCGAAAGGCCUUCUUCACACACGCGGCAUGGCUGGAUCAGGGUUGCCCCCAUUGUCCAAUAUUCCCCACUGCUGCCUCCCGUAGGAGUCUGGGCCGUGUCUCAGUCCCAGUGUGGCUGAUCAUCCUCUCAGACCAGCUACGGAUCGUCGCCUUGGUGAGCCGUUACCUCACCAACCAGCUAAUCCGACAUAGGCUCAUCCGAUAGCGCGAGGCCCGAAGGUCCCCCGNUUUCCCCCGUAGGGCGUAUGCGGUAUUAGCCUGGGUUUCCCCCAGGUUAUCCCCCGACUACCGGGCAGAUUCCUAUGCAUUACUCACCCGUCCGCCGCUCGCCACCAGGGAGCAAGCUCCCCGUGCUGCCGCUCGACUUGCAUCGUGUUAGGCCUGCCGCCAGCGUUCAAUCUGAGCCAGAAUCAAACUCUGA